UGGCGAACGGGUGAGUAACACGUGGGUGAUCUGCCCUGCACUCUGGGAUAAGCCUGGGAAACUGGGUCUAAUACCGGAUAGGACCAUGCUUUAGUGUGUGUGGUGGAAAGUUUUUUCGGUGUAGGAUGAGCCCGCGGCCUAUCAGCUUGUUGGUGGGGUAAUGGCCUACCAAGGCGGCGACGGGUAGCCGGCCUGAGAGGGUGACCGGCCACAUUGGGACUGAGAUACGGCCCAG
This 235-nucleotide ribosomal RNA is filed under the name uncultured Actinomycetales bacterium. RNAcentral's name for it is "partial 16S ribosomal RNA". It matches the Rfam family "Bacterial small subunit ribosomal RNA", at positions 96 to 334 of the family's 1533-position model. Lineage: Bacteria; Bacillati; Actinomycetota; Actinomycetes; Actinomycetales. The record is from RNAcentral.